This is a long non-coding RNA of Ailuropoda melanoleuca (giant panda), 2132 nucleotides long. Lineage: Eukaryota; Metazoa; Chordata; Mammalia; Carnivora; Ursidae. The record is from Ensembl.
UCCAUUGAAGGAGGGUUAUUUUACACUGAGGAAAUUGGAACCUCUUUGGAUGUGGAGGGCAAAAAGUCAAUAGAGAGGAAAGGUUAAGAAACAGGGCAGUUGGGGCGAGAGGUGCUUCACAAGGCUGGAUAGCUGAGAAGACAGAGGAGGGGACAUAUCACAGGUGAGGUGGAAUUAGCCCCAGGCAGAAAGAGGAAAAAAGAAGAUGGGCUAAGAGAAAAAUAAAGUUUUAGGUGGUGAGAGAGAAAGUUAUUAGUAACAACAUUAAUUAAUAUUCUUGGUACCAGGCACUGUGUUAAGUGGUUUACAUAGGUUGUCUCAUUCAGUCUUUAGAGUAACCAUUUGGAGAAGGCACUAAUAUUAUCCCAAUUUUACAGACAAAGAAAUUGCAGUAUGGAGAAAGAAGACAUCUUGUCAUAUAGUACAGUCAAGAUGCAAAGUAAGAUGGCAGCACAGAUGAAAAAAUGCCAGAAAAGCGCCUGGCCAACUGACUUCAACAGCAGCAAAUCCACUGCCUACCCUCCACUCACCCUUCUUUUUUUUAAGGGGGGGAAAAAAAAAGCAGAACCUAAGCAAUGGGGUCUACCGGCAAGAUGUUCGUAACAAAAUCUGCUGACGAGGAGAACAUAAGGAAGGUGCCCCUUCAACAUAUGGCAUUUCAAGGGCUCAAGGGUAUGCUAAAGAAUACUAAAUUGUGUGUAAUGAACUGAACAGAAGCUAAAAUGUGACCUGUGCCUUUUAAACAAAAACAAAAACCUCACCAUGGAGAGUGAACAUAACUAUAACACAUAAAUAAACCAACCUGAGGCCAAGUGGAUUGCCAUUCACAUUGAAGAAAAAAUCAAUUUGCAGUGUAUCAGAGUCCUUUUUAAAUUCUCUCUCUCUCUUUUUUAACAAAAACAAACAUUCCAGGAAAUUACUCUAUACACUGUUAUCUUUCCUUGAAGGAGUCCCUUUGACUAUUCCUUGGGUUGUGAUCAGUUAAUGCUAUGAUGAGUCAAGAAAUCUGCCUUUCCCAAAACAACUCCUGGUGCUCUAAGGUUACUGAAUGCUUUCCCCUGGGUUCUAAGUUUAGAGACAAAGCUAAGUCCUAAAAUGACUAGACUGAGAGGCAUUGAGAUAAUGCAGAAUAUGAGGGAGUGAAGCUGGGAUACUGAGUAUCACCCGGUCACCGGCCUGCGUGCAUCUCAAGGGCCACACCAUCCCACACUAUCCAGAGCGGCAGGCCAGCAGCCUCUGCUCUGGGACUUUCCCUGAAGCCAAGACCCAGAUUACUAUGAGACCCAGGACUCGGAGUUGUCACACACCCAGGACAAAGCAGAAUCCUGAGAGCCCUGACCCAUUAAUUCUGUUGCAUCUGUGCAGCUGCCAAACCCGCCGUCCCUGAGACCCUUGAUGUCCUUGAUGUGUGCCCAAGAGGGAAGGCCUUUCAGGGGGUGAUAACCUCUAUGAACUCUCAUUCUCAUACUUGAUUCAGCUUCCUCCUAAAUUUUUCCUCUGUGACCUCAGGAAUCCCAUUCCAUCAUCAGCAAAGACCCCGAUACUCCCAAUAUCUUCACUGGACAUUCUUUAGCUUUCGAGCCCUAACGUGGCUUUCCCUGCAAGCACAAUGCUUCCCUGCAGCCCUCACAAGUAGAGGCUACUGAGCCAGGUUCCUUCUGUCAAACACUGUCAUUUCCAUGGGUCUCAGUUCUCUGCCCUCUGAGAAUCAGACUGCAUACCUAGCCAUCAGGUCACACUCUCUACCUCAGCUGUCAUACACUGACUGCCUAGCCAUGUCCUUUAUUGAUCAGAGACAUUAGCAAUGAAUCCCAGUAUCCCUUUUCAUUCCAAAUUCCGCCAGCAGUCUGGCACAUGUACUAUGUGUGUGAGGCAUACUCAGUCUCUCUCAGUUCCUUGAUUCCAUCUCUGAUUGCUCUCUCUAUUCUGUUUCAAUCACCCAAUCCCAUUGCCACCCCAGGCUCGCUCAUCAAGAAACCACAGCUCCUCUGAACUCAUGACUCUCUAUUCCUCUACUUCUUCUCCUGUGGUUAUUUUUACUCUAUUGAUUUUCCAAGCUUAUUAGGAAUUCUGUUUUAUUCUUUCUCCUUAUCUGUCCUCCAUUUGCUGGCUCCUUUUCCUUCUCUAUCCAG